GAUGAACGCUGGCGGCGUGCCUAAUACAUGCAAGUCGAGCGAGAAUUUUUCAAAUGACACUUCGGUUGAUUUUGGAAAAGGACAGCGGCGGACGGGUGAGUAACGCGUAGGCAACCUGCCCCUGACAGAGGGAUAGCCAUUGGAAACGAUGAUUAAAACCUCAUAACGCCGAAGGAACACAUGUUUCAUCGGCCAAAGAUUUAUCGGUCAGGGAUGGGCCUGCGUCUGAUUAACUAGUUGGUGAGGUAACGGCUCACCAAGGUGACGAUCAGUAGCCGACCUGAGAGGGUGAUCGGCCACAUUGGAACUGAGACACGGUCCGAACUUCUACGGAAGGCAGCAGUAGGGAAUCUUGCACAAUGGGCGAAAGCCUGAUGCAGCAACGCCGCGUGAAGGAUGAAGGCCUUCGGGUUGUAAACUUCUGUUCUUGGGGAAGAAGAAAGUGACGGUACCUAAGGAGAAAGCCCCGGCUAACUACGUGCCAGCAGCCGCAGUAA
RNAcentral lists this ribosomal RNA (497 nucleotides) under uncultured bacterium. Its description in RNAcentral is "partial 16S ribosomal RNA". It matches the Rfam family "Bacterial small subunit ribosomal RNA", at positions 28 to 523 of the family's 1533-position model. The record is from RNAcentral.